AUACGGAGGAUGCAAGCGUUACUCGGAAUCACUGGGCGUAAAGCGCGCGCAGGCGGUCUUUUAAGUUGGAUGUGAAAGUCUACGGCUCAACCGUAGAACUGCAUCCAAAACUAUUAGACUAGAGUGUGGGAGAGGAAGAUGGAAUUAGUUGUGUAGGGGUAAAAUCCGUAGAGAUAACUAGGAAUACCAAAAGCGAAGGCAAUCUUCUGGAACACUACUGACGCUGAGGCGCGAAAGCGUGGGGAGCAAACAGGAUUAGAUACCCUAGUAGUCC
Molecule: ribosomal RNA, 274 nt
Filed under: uncultured bacterium
Lineage: Bacteria
Description: partial 16S ribosomal RNA
Rfam family: Bacterial small subunit ribosomal RNA
Source: RNAcentral